Molecule: ribosomal RNA, 504 nt
Filed under: uncultured bacterium
Lineage: Bacteria
Description: partial 16S ribosomal RNA
Rfam family: Bacterial small subunit ribosomal RNA
Source: RNAcentral
AUUGAACGCUGGCGGCAGGCCUAACACAUGCAAGUCGAACGGUAGCACAGAGAGCUUGCUCUCGGGUGACGAGCGGCGGCCGGGUGAGUAAUGUCUGGGAAACUGCCCGAUGGAGGGGGAUAACUACUGGAAACGGUAGCUAAUACCGCAUAACGUCGCAAGACCAAAGUGGGGGACCUUCGGGCCUCCCACCAUCGGAUGUGCCCAGAUGGGAUUAGCUAGUAGGUGGGGUAAUGGCUCACCUAGGCGACGAUCCCUAGCUGGUCUGAGAGGAUGACCAGCCACACUGGAACAGAGACACGGGCCAGACUCCUACGGGAGUCAGCAGUGGGGAAUAUUGCACAAUGGGCGCAAGCCUGAUGCAGCCAUGCCGCGUGUAUGAAGAAGGCCGUCGGGUUGUAAAGUACUUUCAGCGGGGAGGAAGGCGGUGAAGUUAAUAACUUCACCGAUUGACGUUACCCGCAGAAGAAGCACCGGCUAACUCCGUGCCAGCAGCCGCGGUAA